Molecule: unclassified non-coding RNA, 364 nt
Filed under: uncultured bacterium
Lineage: Bacteria
Description: contains 16S-23S intergenic spacer region
Source: RNAcentral
UCCGCCUUGGAGGCGGCAGUCUCCUAUGAAAAAGCAACAUAGGAUGAGGGUUGCGCUCGUUUGCUGACUUAACAGUACACCUCAAGGCACGAGCUGACGACGACCGUGCAUCACCUGUCAUCGGAUUCCUUGCGGCACUCCGAUCUUUCGAUCAGAUUCCCGAGAUGUCAAGCCUGGGUGAGGUGCUCCGCUUAUCAUCGAAUUAAACCCCAUGCUCCACCGCUUGUGUGGGUCCCCGUCUAUUCCUUUAAGUUUUAGCCUUGCGGCCGUACUACUCAGGCGGUGUGCUUACCGCGUUAGCUUAAGGCACGGGGGACAAUUGAAAUCCCCCACACCGAGCACACAUCGUUUAGGGCGUGGACUA